This 120-nucleotide ribosomal RNA is filed under the name Pteropus alecto (black flying fox). Lineage: Eukaryota; Metazoa; Chordata; Mammalia; Chiroptera; Pteropodidae. The record is from RNAcentral.
GUCUACGGCCAUGCCACCCUGAACACGCUCGAUCCCAUCUGAUCUCGGAAGCUAAGCAGGGUCAGGCUUAGGUUAGUACUUGGAUGGGAGACCACCAAGGAAAACCAGGUACUAUAGGCG